UGAGGAAUAUUGGUCAAUGGACGCAAGUCUGAACCAGCCAAGUAGCGUGCAGGAUGACGGCCCUAUGGGUUGUAAACUGCUUUUAUAUGGGGAUAAAGUGGGGAACGUGUUCCCUUUUGCAGGUACCAUAAGAAUAAGGACCGGCUAAUUCCGUGCCAGCAGCCGCGGUAAUACGGAAGGUUCGGGCGUUAUCCGGAUUUAUUGGGUUUAAAGGGAGCGUAGGCCGUUUGGUAAGCGUGUUGUGAAAUGUAGGAGCUCAACUUCUAGAUUGCAGCGCGAACUGUCAGACUUGAGUGCGCACAACGUAGGCGGAAUUCAUGGUGUAGCGGUGAAAUGCUUAGAUAUCAUGAAGAACUCCGAUUGCGAAGGCAGCUUACGGGAGCGCAACUGACGCUGAAGCUCGAAGGUGCGGGUAUCGAACAGG
This 424-nucleotide ribosomal RNA is filed under the name Verrucomicrobiota bacterium. RNAcentral's name for it is "Verrucomicrobia bacterium partial 16S ribosomal RNA". It matches the Rfam family "Bacterial small subunit ribosomal RNA", at positions 355 to 776 of the family's 1533-position model. The record is from RNAcentral. Lineage: Bacteria; Pseudomonadati; Verrucomicrobiota.